Molecule: non-coding RNA, 123 nt
Filed under: Mucochytrium quahogii
Lineage: Eukaryota; Bigyra; Thraustochytrida; Thraustochytriidae
Source: RNAcentral
GGACCUUGGGGCCAGAGUUCAACCAUCUACUUUUCCGUGAAACCUUACAUAUGAUGUAAUCAACUGAAUUUCUGGCUGAUUGUCGUUUUUGAAUCUCCAAAGAAACACACAACAAAAACAAAA